This 502-nucleotide long non-coding RNA is filed under the name Oryza brachyantha (malo sina). RNAcentral describes it as "long non-coding RNA (OBRA_LNC002768)". Lineage: Eukaryota; Viridiplantae; Streptophyta; Magnoliopsida; Poales; Poaceae. The record is from RNAcentral.
AAAGGGAACGAAUCACGCGCUUGUGAAUUGUGACGUGGCACGAACGUGUCGACUCACCCAAACAGACCACAACGGUGCACAACCACUCAACGAAAAAUAUCUAAACUACAGGCCCCGUGGAACGCCGAUCUACUUUGUCUUUUCCGGCUUUGCGUCCGCCUUCGUAUCCGCCAUCACGAAGGCGAGGGCGAACUCCGCCCCUCGCGAAGAAGCUAAUCCACGGGAAGAAAUUUAUGCUUGUUGGGCGGGCAAGAUCGAGGCAAUCCUGGCGCGGAAAAAUACCAAAGGAACGCGACCUGAAUUAGGAAUUUGAGGUGAGAGAUUGAAGGUUGGGAGGUUCUGGGAAGGGGGAGGGGGGUGGUGCGUGGUGCGUACCUCUCGGUGGCGAGCUCCUCAGCUUGAAUUUGCCGCCGGCGAAGAGUGCGGCGUGGGGAGGGAGAGGUAGGAGGAGGAGAGGGUUUGGUUUUUUUUUCCCCUUUUCCGUGCUGCGUGUUCGCUCGCU